GACGACCGCUGGCGGCGUGCUUAACACAUGCAAGUCGAACGAAGUGGCGAACGGGUGCGUAACGCGUAAUCAACCUGCCCUUCAGAGGGGGCCAACAGUUGGAAACGACUGCUAAUACCGCAUACUGAAGGAGGGGAUUGCGUCUGAUUAGCUAGUUGGAGGGGUAACGGCCAAACAAUGCGAUGAUCAGUAGGCGGACUGAGAGGAUGAACGACCACAUUGUGACUGAGACAGGGCCCAGACUCCUACGGGAGGCAGCAGGUGGGAAUCUUUCGAAAUGGACGAAAGUCUGACGGAGCAACGCGGCGUGAGUGAGGACGGCCUGCGAGUUGUAAAGCUCGUUUAAUCGGGACGCGGUACCGGAAUAGAAAGCCACGGCUAACUACGUGCCAGCAGCCGCGGUAAUAC
This 408-nucleotide ribosomal RNA is filed under the name uncultured bacterium. RNAcentral describes it as "partial 16S ribosomal RNA". It matches the Rfam family "Bacterial small subunit ribosomal RNA", at positions 28 to 526 of the family's 1533-position model. The record is from RNAcentral.